GCCCCGUGGCCCCGCCCGUGCCACCGCCGUGGCUCCGCCCGCACCGGGCGGGCUCCGAGCCGGGCGGGCCCGGGGCAAAGCCUCCCGCGGCCGGCGGGGCUCUGCAGGGAUGCGGCUCUCAGCGGCCUCCCCCGGCGCUGGGAAUGCCGCAUCAGCGUCUUCUCCCGGUGCCGCGGAUGCCAGGGCCGCUGUCCUCCCCCGCUGUCCUCCCCCGGUGUCCUCCCCCGGUGUCCUCCCCCGGUGUCCUCCCCAGCCGCACGGUCCGAACGGGGUUUGGGCCCUGCCCCCGCAUCCUUCCCCGGCUGCUCCUCGGGGCCGGGAAGGGUUUUCCGGAGUUUCGGCGGAGGAAGGUGGGCUGUCCCCACUGUCCCCACUGCAGGUUGUGCAAACCCGCAGCUGACGAACCCCGACGUUAGUAGUUGUCUGUGUUAAUAGUCACGAGGAGCUCUGAAAUUCCCAUGACAAAGCUGGGACCGCAGAUUCCCGUUUCCAGGCCAGAAAGGCGUAGCUCGGUGUACACCACCCCUGCUGUAACCUUCCCUCUGCGGGGAGUUUCCGAGCAGGCAGCGAGGGCUAUAAGAGUGGGACUCGGGCACGGGCAGGGCAGAAGCCAUUGAGCGAGCAUGGAGCACUGCACACAUGGAGACUGCACUGGCAGCCAAAAGGGACAGCUUUUGCUCUUCCAGUGCAGACGUGGACAGGGGACUUGGCCCCGCCGUCUGCUUCCAUGGGUAGAGCCCACAGUCCAGCUGGGAGAUGAAGGAUGAGACCUCGCUGACACUUCUUCUUUCUCCUCUUGCAUUGCCCCCCACCCACCGGAGGAAGCCGAGCAUGGAGGGGGCCCAGCCUCAGCUCUGCUCGGGAAGGAAGCAGGAGGGAGGUCAGCGAGAGUCGGCAACAACAUUAUCCACAUUGCAGCUGGCGUGGGACACUUCUGCUGGCACAGAGGAGCUCUGCCAUCCCUCCUCUCACAGGAGUGUUUCAUGGUUGGGAGGUACCAAAUAACUCCCGUAAAAUGCUGUCCCAGGUACGCUCUGCUUCACACUGCCAAUUCUGGGACAGGAAUUUUGGUAUUUCUGCAACAACCUUACUGUCUGUCUUGUCCAAAACAACAAAAUAAACAAAGCUGUGUCUA
Molecule: long non-coding RNA, 1135 nt
Organism: Taeniopygia guttata (zebra finch)
Lineage: Eukaryota; Metazoa; Chordata; Aves; Passeriformes; Estrildidae
Source: RefSeq, a predicted model, not a curated record